Molecule: ribosomal RNA, 412 nt
Filed under: uncultured Planctomycetia bacterium
Lineage: Bacteria; Pseudomonadati; Planctomycetota; Planctomycetia
Description: bacterial SSU rRNA
Rfam family: Bacterial small subunit ribosomal RNA
Source: RNAcentral
GAGUUUGAUCGUGGCUCAGAACGAACGUUGGCGGCAUGGAUUAGGCAUGCAAGUCGAACGAAUCCCGGGGUAGCAAUACCUCGGGGGAAGUGGCGAAAGGGGCAGUAAUACCUGGAUAACCUACCCUGGGGUUGGGCAUAGCCGUUCUAACGAGCGGGUAAUUCCCAGCGAUUCGGCGAGUUCACAUGAAUUUGUCGGGAAAGAAUUUCGCCUCGGGAGGGGUCCAGGAGCUAUCAGCUAGUUGGCGGGGUAACGGCCCACCAAGGCUUAGACGGCUAGCGGGUGUGAGAGCACGACCCGCGCCACUGGCACUGAGACACUGGCCAGACACCUACGGGUGGCUGCAGUCGAGGAUCUUCGUCAAUGGGCGCAAGCCUGAACGAGCGAUGCCGCGUGAGCGAUGAAGGCCUUC